Aethalodelphis obliquidens (Pacific white-sided dolphin) is the source of this 4679-nucleotide RNA transcript. It is a transcript of the gene named casein kinase 2 beta, with no coding region annotated. NCBI's taxonomy places the organism in Eukaryota, Metazoa, Chordata, Mammalia, Artiodactyla, Delphinidae. The transcript is spliced from 3 exons. The record is from RefSeq and is a predicted model, not a curated record.
UAUUGUGGUGGGAAUAUGAAAUAAAGUGGAAGAAAAGGCCGUGGGCUGAUUUGCUGGUGCUUGGGGUUGGGGAAGGGAGGGUAAUGGUGUGCUGAACCCCAGGAGCUCUCCUGGCCCCGCCCCCCCUCCUCAGCUUGAAAUCCAGCACAGAUUUGUGCCCAGUGGAUUUGGGUGAUGUUUUUAGUAGGAAAGUGGAGUUGUAGAAUUGGGUGUGGGGAUGUGCAAAGAUCACAAAAGACUCAAAAAUCAAAUUUCAAAGAUUAGAGAAAUAUUCUUUUUGGGCCACCUGUGGUCGUCUGUUUAUACUCUAGGGAGUGCAGUCAACAACACUUUGAGUUUGGGUUUUACAGGGAAAGUGGUCCCAAAAUAAACAACUGUAAGGGGUGGGGAAAGGAGGGGCAGGGUCCAGAACUGCUGUUGUGUGGUGUCUGCCUGCCCCCUGCUGGGGAGCUGAGACAUGCGCAUCUCAGAAGGAUGGGGGGCACUGGCUUCCUGGCUAAGGUUUCUCCCAGAACAAUAGGGACUGACCCUAUUGUGUGGGAAGGAUAGCAGAUGGUACCAGAGAAGGAAACAUCCAUGCACCCUUGAAAGGCACGCAGGACAAAGGUAGACUGCUGGAUUGGGGCCCAGGUAUUGCCCCUGUCUGGGCUACUGCUCCCACAUUCAGGAACCAGACCUGGUGGGUGAGGACAUGUCCCUCCUGCCAAGUUAAUAGCUUCCUCCUCCAGUCAGGAAUAUAGCUCUGUACCUGCGGUAGCUCCUGCUCAGACUGCCUGUCAAAACUAGCCUGCAGUUCAGGCUUAAGGAGCAUGGUCACAGGAAGGUGGGGUUUCAGAGCACCCCUGAGGGGCUUCCCCUCUCCCCAGAAUUCCAUGAUGAAGGCCUAUAUGUUUGUAGGUGUGCUGGUCAUGAUGGGCUUCACAGUGGGAAAGAGUAAGUGGGACACGGGGGCAGGGAAGGAGGGGUGACUGAGUCCAGGGAGGGGAUGGCUCUGGAUGAGCGGGCUCCCUGCAGGGCAGGGAACUUGGAGUGAGCCAACACGGCCAUUUCUCCUGUCUUCCACUUCCCCAGCUCUUGUUGCUGAAGUCCGGACCUGCCACCUCUGCCUCUUAGAAGAUCCUACUAUAGGAUGCGUUUUAGGCUCAGAGAAGUGCACGAUCAGCAGCUCAUCCCCAUGUAUGGGGAUCAGCAUCUUUCAUAAUACCAAGGUUCGCUUCUUAAUCCGGGGCUGUGGACAGCACAAGUCUUACCGGUGCCAAGAAAAACACCCCACCUACCUCCCAGAGUACUGGUACUACGCCCAGUGCUGCCAGUAUGAUUACUGCAACUCCUGGUACAGCCCCCAGCUCCAGAGCUCCCUCCCUGAGGCCCCUGAGGGGUCCCUGGCCCUGCCCCUGUCUGAGUCCCAGAUCCAGUGGUUCUGCCAAGCCCUGAACCUCUCACUGCCCCUACCCAGCUUCCAUGCUGAGAAGGAGCCUUCUGAAGGCCUGGACCCCCUGGCUGUCCUGCCCCUGAAUCUGAGUUUGUCCAUUGCUGACCUGCGCCGCAUAUACUGGUUCCUCAACAAUUCAGGACUUUUGGUUCUUCCCUGGGCUAGGCUGUGACGUCUUACCCUUCCCAGAUUUCACUCUGGUCCAGCGUCUCUCCCCUGACACCCCAGCAUCAUGUACUGCCCUCUCAGAACACUCACACUUUCUGGUCUGUGAGUUCUCAGUCUUCCUUUCCUUUGUACUUCCAUCGUCUAUAUGGUUUUGGUUUAGUUUCCUCCCCAAAAAGCAGUUGGCACUGCACCCAGUGCCCUUCGUCCACCUAGAAAAUAAUCUCAAAUGUGAAUUCUGCCUAGGCUGACCUGGGAAAGGCACAGUGGUUUCCUCAUCCCUUUCCUAUCAUCUGAGUGGGAUCAUCCCCCCCCCCCCCCCAUCUUCCUGAUCCCCUCUCAAUGGCUAUUUCCACCCCUACACUUGUCUCUAAAACCUUGUGCCAGACUGACCUUGCAUCAAGACGGGUGAGAGGCGGACUUUGUGCAGAUUUCCUGACUGGGCACUCUGGUGUUCCUACCUCACUGUCUCCACCACCCUCACUCCCGCCUGGUCUCCUGCUUCCUUUUCUCAUCUCUUGUCCCCAUCUUUGACUUCCACAGCCCCACUUCACGUCCCUGAGUCCUGACACCCACUUGCACAGAAUCCCAGGGAGAGGAGAAGAUCUGUCCUCUGCUCCAGAUUCUCCAGUUUCCCUCCACAAUAAACAAACUGGGCUAAGUCUGUGUCACAUUGUUUAUGGGGUCAGGCUCAGGUGUGGGCAGGUGUAAACAGGUUAAAGAAAGUUAACUGGGUGUGGGGUUCAAACAGGGUUGCAGAGCCCUGCCCACUCCACUUGGCCUUUGUGGUUCCUCAUGGCCUGCCGCAAAGAGCCCACAUCCAUCCCACCCUCUGCUCAGCUAGAGAUCAAAGUAUGAGGAUUGUGACUCCUGCCAGCCUUAAACAUACCCUACAAAACCUAGAAAGUUAAACCCGGGUGAUGUCAGGUUUUUCCACAUAAGAAAGGAGGAAAUACUCAACCAUGAAAACUCAAGAGCAAACCAGAGGGCCCAGGUCUGCAUCUCAGAGUUAACCUGGAGCUGAGGCACCUGCGUUCCUGCCUAUUCUCAGUUCUUUUCAGGAUCCUGGGAGCCAGGACCCCCUCUGUGAGGGCCUAGGUGGAGGGGGUGGGAGAGUACAGAGAGCACACAGGUGGGGCUGCAGUGGUAGGGUCUUUCAUUUUGAAAAACCGCAAGCAUGCAGAAAGCAACCUUCCCCAUACAUUCAAUAAACACUGGACACACUGCUCUGAGCCAGGCCCAGUAUUAAGCAGCAAGACUUGCAGAUGAGUACAGCCAGGUGUCCACCCUUCUGAAUCUCACAACCCAGUGCUGGGAUUAUGAAACUUUUUUCUGAAAAGUAGUGCAGCUCUGUGGCUGGGAGGCCCAAUCCCAGCUCCUCUGCCACUUAAGUAAGUUGGUCUCUGUGCCGAAUUUUGGUCACCUGUCAAGUAGGGAUAGUGCCUCAGGAUUGAGAGAAUGUGUGUCAACGUGUGCACAGAGAUAGAAGUUAAUGGACUCAAAAAUAGACACGCCUUAGAGGCAAACAUGCACACAGAUUUUGGUCUAUUUAGUUUUAAACCUUUUUGGCCAUACAGAUGUUUGCGCACCAUAAGGUGGGUUUUUGUAAACUACACACCUGUGUUACCACUCCCUGAGUUAGCAUAAAGGCUUUUAUCAGCACCCAAAGCUGCCUUCAUGCACCCUCCUAGACCCUCCUAAAAUUCAGGGGUAGCCACUGUCCUGAAUUUUGUCUGUGUGCUUGAUAGAAACGACAUCACAGCAUACACGCUUCCUACACAACAUUUUGCAUGUAUGUUAAUAGAUUUUUGUGGCCCCUUUAAUGGCUUGUGCUCUGGUGGGAGAAACCAUUUGUUUCUAGGUCAGGAAGCAGUUGGAGGUACAAAGAGAGGUACAAGCCACUGUGUCCCUCUCUUGCCGCCCCACUUUACCCCAUGACCUCUGACUUCAGCAUAAGUCAAGGGCCCAGGUUUACACAGCUCCAGCAAGUCAAACUGGAAGACAGCCUCAGAGGAUGAGAAACCCAAGGCCCGAAACUGAGGAGUAACUUAACCAUGGUCCUUGAAAAGGGAAGUUGAGCCUGGGGUCAGAGAGGCCACUAGGCCUUGCAUCUCUUCACAGAGCUCCUUCCCCACCCUCUCCUCCCUGGGACUGGUUCUCUUACAGCUCCACUCCUACCAACACACCCCCAUGAACCUCCCUACCAGUCCCCAUCCAGCUCUGGGUCUGACAGCACUUCUAAGGAUGUCCACCACCCUUCUGGUCUUCAACAUAGGAGGGCUUGCAGUUCCUCUUCACCUCUUUGUGCUGAGAGCUGAAUCAGAGACAGUGGGGCAGGGCAGGAGCAGAGCUCCGCAGAGCUGGGAGCCACUUACCUGCCCCUGACGGGGCACUCAGGCAGUACCACCUCCCUCAGCCUCCACGUCCACCAGAAGAGAGAGACAAAUCAAAGAGUUCGCACACCUGUUUAUUUUGGAGGAACAGCUGGGGACUUUGGACAAGAGAGGACCAUGGUGGGAAAAGAGGCAAAGCAGGGCAAAGGGGCAUCCUUGAGGUGGGAACAGACAGGAGGAAAGAUGUCAGACUGAGGCCUUGAAGGAAAACUCCAGAGAAUUCUGGAGAGGGAGCCUAGGGAAGGGGCAGAGUGGGAAUAGGGCUGUUGAGGGGCGUCAACCAAGAGACAGAUAGGACCGGGGUCCAGUAGCUGCUGCUGAGGGCGGCAGGGAGGGCUGGUGGGUGGGGAUGGACAUUGUUCUGGCUGCCCCCAGGUAGAAAUCAGGAGGAUGGCUGGAAAUUGGCCGGUUUUUACUCCAGAGGUCUCUAUGGAAGUUCUAAGGACCAUAUUUUAUUCUGUUCUGAGGGUUAUUGCAGAAAUUCCGGAAGCAGCAUCGAGAGAAUAUCUAGAAGCCCAGCACUGGAGGAGUGUGGGUGUACGAGCGAUCACUCAUCUGCUCCUUGCUGCGGCAGUCACUCACAACGAUCUCCGAACCACUGUCUGGGGAGGGACGGCAGCAAUCAGCGACACAGAGUUCCCAGGGAACAUGGGUUCGAUCCCUGGUCCAGGAAGAUUCCACAUGCCGUG